CAAAAACCCGGUCCUUAGAAAACACAAAACAGCCAUUUUUUUAAAAAAAUUCACAAAACUAUGCCAAUAAAUCAAUAUUUACCAUACGUAAUGCAUCAACAGCCCAACUAGGAUAAUUGGACUUAUCACCAUGGUUCCAUUCAUGGAAAAAGUUUUUGACAAAUGAAGGGAACUCGUCCUUUAUAAUGGACUCCCGCAUAUCUCGCAUAAGUUGGAGCUGGAAAUGGACAUUAUGAAUUGUCAUGAGGUUGGCACCGACGGUUUCCUUCGAGACUAAACUAUUGAAAUAAGCACGAGUAAUUCCCCAUCCACCUUCAAGUUCUGUUUUACAACAAGGGCAGGAACAACCUUCUUCAAGAGGUCCAAUAUCAUUCCUAAACUUUUGGUUCCUUAAGUUUAUUACACCUUUGCGUGUCAAAGCAUUACCGAACCUAGCCGUUCUGGUAGGAUAAACACAGUCAAACAUGUCCAUCCCAAGGGCGACGCAUACUACCAAAUCUUCUGCAUAUCCGACACCCAUUAGAUAUCUUGGCUUGUUAUCGGGAAGUAUAGAAGUACAAGUAUAAACUCUAAAAUAUUGUUAGAUUAGAAAAAGGUAAAAAACCAUCUUACGUCUCGCAGAAAGCGUGUUUUUCUUCACCACCAGAUAAUCCACCAACAGCAAUCCCUGGAGUAUUUCUUUUGACCAUUUCACGACAACAAAUUUCUCGAAGUCGUUUGUCCAAACCACCUUGAAUAAUACAAAACAAGUUUUGGGUUUCCGGGCGCUUAUGCGCUUGUAUACAUCGGUCUAGCCAGCGAAUUGAACGAUACAUAGCUUCUUCCAUUCUCUUGCUUUCAGUCAGUGUAUGAACAACAUCGUCUAAUUGCAUCAUAAUGUCUGAGCCAAUACUGUUUUGUAGAGAAAUAGAAUGCUCAGGCGUAAGGAGCAUUGGAGUACCAUCUCUUGGAGACAAAAACGUAACUCCAUCCUCCGUGAUAGUGGCUAGUUUAAGUAAAGAUACCAUCUGAAAACCACCACUAUCCGUCAAUAUAUUUUUGUUCCAUGACUGAAAGCGAUGCGCACCGCCCACAGUAUCUAAUACCUCUUGACCUGGCUUCAAUCCCAAAUGGUACGUGUUGUUAAGCAUAAUUUUGCAGCCUAAAGCAUCCAAUUGUUCAGGAAGUACACCCUUUAGUGAAGCCUCUAAAUUACAAUUUGUUAAAAGGUCUAUAAUCUUUUAAAAAUCAAAUAACUUACGUGUUCCAACUGGCAUAAAUACAGGGGAUUCUACCAGUCCAUGGGGAAGUUGGAUAUCAGUCACGCGAGCUCUUGUGGUAGAGCAACGAGCUACGACUUUGAAUUGUAAAGCCGGGAAUGAGGAAGCCAUGCCAAAUCUUGAAUUGGCUACACUAGUAUGCUGAGUAGUAAGUAGAUGUUUGGAAAACUUAUUAAGUUGCUAUAGCAACCAAUAGGUAAAUAAAUGUUAACUGUAAACAAACUAACGAUUUAAUGUUGAAAGUAGAAAAUCAGAAAUAGCAAG
Molecule: non-coding RNA, 1523 nt
Organism: Schizosaccharomyces pombe (fission yeast)
Lineage: Eukaryota; Fungi; Ascomycota; Schizosaccharomycetes; Schizosaccharomycetales; Schizosaccharomycetaceae
Source: the annotation of a GenBank genome assembly